CAGUAGCCGCGGGAAUACGUAGGGUGCGAGCGUUAAUCGGAAUUACUGGGCGUAAAGCGUGCGCAGGCGGUUGUGUAAGACAGGUGUGAAAUCCCCGGGCUUAACCUGGGAACUGCGCUUGUGACUGCACAGCUAGAGUAUGGCAGAGGGGGGUGGAAUUCCACGUGUAGCAGUGAAAUGCGUAGAGAUGUGGAGGAACACCGAUGGCGAAGGCAGCCCCCUGGGCCAAUACUGACGCUCAUGCACGAAAGCGUGGGGAGCAAACAGAAUUAGAUACCCCCGUAGUCCCUGUCUCUUAUAC
Molecule: ribosomal RNA, 301 nt
Filed under: uncultured bacterium
Lineage: Bacteria
Description: partial 16S ribosomal RNA
Rfam family: Bacterial small subunit ribosomal RNA
Source: RNAcentral